GUUUGGCAUCUCGGACGGGAAAACUCCCAGUUGAUAAGAAAAUUUGAAGGUGAACGAACAACAAUGGCAGUCGUAAAGAACCCCAGUCUCGAGAGCAACAGGGAGAUCUAUAUCAAGGACAAGGACUUCUACUUGACCAUAUACACGGAACUGAACUGACUCGGCAGAUGUGCCGGUACCACGGUCUCGGAUACGGCAACCCCGGUAACCAACUAGGCCGCAAACCAAUUCGUCUAACGAAAGCCACCAACGCCAGACGACUGGUCGUAUCCUGCGAAUCCUGGAACGUAUCCUGCCAAGUGGGCCCAUCCAUCAUGAUCAAUUAGCCCUUUUCAAUGUCAGGCCAUCAAUCAACCAAUCCAAGGUGGCUCUGGGUCUGGGCUCCCACUCAAACGAGUCGAUUAGUCCCGGCCGGAGACGAGAAGGAUACCAGGAAGCACACCUCGAGCACUCAAAACACACCCGGGCUUCACAUAAAUACGUUUAUUAUAAUUUCAGAUUUUGUUUUGGAAAUAGUUCUUGAGAUAAGCUUGACGUUUCGUAAAAUGUAAUACAUAUAUAUUCUUCGCGGUAA
Long non-coding RNA from Drosophila biarmipes, 574 nucleotides. RefSeq lists it as uncharacterized. NCBI's taxonomy places the organism in Eukaryota, Metazoa, Arthropoda, Insecta, Diptera, Drosophilidae. The record is from RefSeq and is a predicted model, not a curated record. The transcript is spliced from 2 exons.